GACUAACGCUGACGGUGUGCAUAAUACAUGCAAGUCGAACGUGCAAUGAAAAAGUAGCAAUACUUUUUCAAAGCAAGUGGCGAACGGGUGCGUAACGCGUGGGUAAUCUGCCUUGAAGAUUGGGACAACUCCUCGAAAGAGGGGCUAAUACCAAAUAUUCUAUAUGAACCGCAUGAUUUAUAUAGCAAAGGUAGCCGCAAGGCUUCCACUUUAAGAUGAGCCCGCGUCCUAUUAGCUAGUUGGUAAGGUAACGGCUUACCAAGGCUAUAAUGGGUAGCCGGUCUGAGAGGAUGGUCGGCCACACUGGGACUGAGAUACGGCCCAGACUCCUACGGGAGGCAGCAGUAGGGAAUAUUGCGCAAUGGGCGAAAGCCUGACGCAGCGACACCGUGUGAAGGAUGAAGAUUUUCGGAUCGUAAACUUCUGUCAAUUGGGGACGAAGGUAGUAGGGUUAAUAGCUUUUACUAUUGACGGUACCCA
This 480-nucleotide ribosomal RNA is filed under the name uncultured bacterium. RNAcentral describes it as "bacterial SSU rRNA". It matches the Rfam family "Bacterial small subunit ribosomal RNA", at positions 28 to 481 of the family's 1533-position model. The record is from RNAcentral.